This 274-nucleotide ribosomal RNA is filed under the name uncultured bacterium. RNAcentral's name for it is "partial 16S ribosomal RNA". It matches the Rfam family "Bacterial small subunit ribosomal RNA", at positions 523 to 796 of the family's 1533-position model. The record is from RNAcentral.
AUACGGAGGGUCCAAGCGUUAUCCGGAUUCAUUGGGUUUAAAGGGUCCGCAGGCGGGAAAAUAAGUCAGUGGUGAAAGCCUACAGCUCAACUGUAGAACUGCCAUUGAAACUGUUUUUCUUGUGUAUAGAUGAAGUGGGCGGAAUAUAUCAUGUAGCGGUGAAAUGCAUAGAUAUGAUAUAGAACACCGAUUGCGAAGGCAGCUCACUAAACUAUUACUGACGCUCAGGGACGAAAGCGUGGGGAGCGAACAGGAUUAGAAACCCCAGUAGUCC